AUGUGCCCUGCAGGUUCGUUCAUGGGGAGGUGGAGGCGGGCCGGCGUGCUGGCUCUGGUGCUCCUGCUGCUCUCCGCUUGCCAUGGAAGACGAGAGUUCUCUGUCAAGAAUCACGGUCAGAGUCUUAUAUAUGAUCAUACUCUUGCUAAGACCAUCGUGGAGUAUGCUUCGGCUGUGUAUAUGACAGAUUUAACAGCUUUGUAUACAUGGACAUGCUCAAGAUGCAAUGACUUGACUCAAGACUUCGAGAUGAGGUCUCUAAUUGUUGAUGUGGAGAACUGCUUGCAGGCAUUUGUCGGUGUAGCUCACAAUCUAAAUGCCAUAAUAGUUGCAAUCAGAGGGACUCAAGAGAACAGUGUGCAGAAUUGGAUCAAGGACUUGGUAUGGAAGCAGCUUGAUCUAAGCUAUCCAGACAUGCCAAAUGCAAAGGUGCACAGUGGAUUUUUCUCCUCCUAUAAUAAUACAAUUUUGCGUCUAGCUAUCACAAGUGCUGUGCACAAGGCAAGAAAGAAAUAUGGGGAUAUCGGCAUCAUAGUCACAGGGCACUCAAUGGGAGGAGCCAUGGCUGCCUUCUGUGCACUCGAUCUUGCUAUCAAGCUCGGAAGCGACAAUGUUCAACUCAUGACUUUCGGACAGCCUCGUGUCGGCAAUGCUGUUUUCGCCUCCUACUUUGCCAAAUAUGUACCAAACACAAUUCGACUGGUACACGGACAUGAUAUUGUGCCGCAUUUGCCACCUUAUUUCUCCUUUCUUUCCAAACUGACGUACCACCACUUCCCAAGAGAGGUAUGGAUCAACGAAUCUGAUGGCAACACAACGGAACAGAUAUGUGAUGCCAGCGGCGAAGACCCAAACUGCUGCAGGUGCCUCUCCAUAUUGAGCCUGAGCAUUCAGGACCAUUUCACAUACCUGGGAGUAGACAUGGAAUCAGAUGACUGGAGCACCUGCAGAAUCAUCACAGCACAAAGCGUUGAGCGAUUACGUAAGGAUCUCGGCAGCAACAUCAUCAUGACAAAGCACGGCGUCGAGGUCUCCAUUGUCGAGAAUAGCAUGCAGACAGACUGGAGCAGUUCCAGAUAG
This 1080-nucleotide ribosomal RNA is filed under the name Triticum aestivum (bread wheat). Its description in RNAcentral is "partial small subunit ribosomal RNA". The record is from RNAcentral. Lineage: Eukaryota; Viridiplantae; Streptophyta; Magnoliopsida; Poales; Poaceae.